CUACGGGCUGCACCAGUGGGGAAUAUUGCACAAUGGGCGAAAGCCUGAUGCAGCAACGCCGCGUGAGUGAUGAAGGCCUUCGGGUCGUAAAACUCUGUCCUCAAGGAAGAUAAUGACGGUACUUGAGGAGGAAGCCCCGGCUAACUACGUGCCAGCAGCCGCGGUAAUACGUAGGGGGCUAGCGUUAUCCGGAUUUACUGGGCGUAAAGGGUGCGUAGGUGGUUUCUUAAGUCAGGAGUGAAAGGCUACGGCUCAACCGUAGUAAGCUCUUGAAACUGGGAAACUCGAGUGCAGGAGAGGAAAGUGGAAUUCCUAGUGUAGCGGUGAAAUGCGUAGAUAUUAGGAGGAACACCAGUAGCGAAGGCGGCUUUCUGGACUGUAACUGACACUGAGGCACGAAAGCGUGGGGAGCAAACAGGAUUAGAUACCCGUGUAGUC
Molecule: ribosomal RNA, 438 nt
Filed under: uncultured bacterium
Lineage: Bacteria
Description: partial 16S ribosomal RNA
Rfam family: Bacterial small subunit ribosomal RNA
Source: RNAcentral